Molecule: transfer RNA, 83 nt
Filed under: Lingula anatina
Lineage: Eukaryota; Metazoa; Brachiopoda; Lingulata; Lingulida; Lingulidae
Description: tRNA-Ser
Rfam family: tRNA
About the family: Transfer RNA (tRNA) molecules are approximately 80 nucleotides in length. Their secondary structure includes four short double-helical elements and three loops (D, anti-codon, and T loops).
Source: RNAcentral
GCAGUCGUGGCCGAGUGGUUAAGGCGACAGACUAGAAAUCUGUUGGGGUCUCCCCGCACAGGUUCAAAUCCUGCGGUACUGUU